AGCUCCACUCAGAAUCUGUUUUUGACAGCAGUGAUGUAUGGGUUGUAUUCGGUAUAAAUAAAUUAAAUAACACCCAAAACAUUGGCCUAUCCAGGGUGUGAAGAGCCGGAUUUGGUCACAUUAUGUUUUUACAUACACAGACCAGCCAACGAACGUACCAACCGAGAAUAUUUUUGUUUUUCUAAAGCUAGAAGUUCUUCAACAUUAAAUUAUUGAAAGUCUCCAGUGGAUCGGAUCGGAAGUUUGUUUUCAACAGUUCUUGAAAGU
Cinara cedri is the source of this 267-nucleotide non-coding RNA. NCBI's taxonomy places the organism in Eukaryota, Metazoa, Arthropoda, Insecta, Hemiptera, Aphididae. The record is from the annotation of a GenBank genome assembly.